GACGAACGCUGGCGGCGUGCCUAACACAUGCAAGUCGAACGGUGACGCCCCAGCUUGCUGCAGUGGAUCAGUGGCGAACGGGUGAGUAACACGUGAGCAACCUGCCCCAGACUCUGGAAGAAGCUCUGGAAACGGCGUCUAAUCCUGGAUACGAUACUGCCCCGCAUGGGCAGGGUUUGGUAAGUUUUGCGGUUGGGGAUGGGCUAGCGGCCUAUCGGCUUGUUGGUGAGGUAGUGGCUGACCAAGGCAAGGCCGGGUAGCCGGCCUGGGAGGGCGACCGGCCACACGAGGACUGAGACAGGGCGCAGACUCGUACGGGAGGCAGCGGUGGGGAAUAUUACACAGUGGGAGGGAGCCUGAUGCGACGACGCCGCGUGGGGGAAGACGGCCUUCGGGUAGUGAACCUCUGUCAGCAGAGAAGAAGCGAAAGUGACGGUACCUGCAGAAGAAGCACCGGCUAACUACGUG
This 468-nucleotide ribosomal RNA is filed under the name uncultured bacterium. Its description in RNAcentral is "partial 16S ribosomal RNA". It matches the Rfam family "Bacterial small subunit ribosomal RNA", at positions 28 to 507 of the family's 1533-position model. The record is from RNAcentral.